RNAcentral lists this ribosomal RNA (469 nucleotides) under uncultured bacterium. RNAcentral's name for it is "bacterial SSU rRNA". It matches the Rfam family "Bacterial small subunit ribosomal RNA", at positions 28 to 507 of the family's 1533-position model. The record is from RNAcentral.
GAUGAACGCUAGCGGCAGGCCUAAUACAUGCAAGUCGAACGGUGUCUUCGGACAUAGUGGCGUACGGGUGCGUAACACGUAUGCAACCUACCUUACAUUGGGGGAUAGCCUUUCGAAAGGGAGAUUAAUACCGCAUAAGACAGUAACUAGGCAUCUAGUAGCUGUUAAAGAUUUAUCGAUGUAAGCUGGGCAUGCGUCCAAUUAGCUAGUUGGUGAGGUAACGGCUCACCAAGGCAAUGAUUGGUAGGGGAACUGAGAGGUCAAUCCCCCACACUGGCACUGAGACACGGCCCAGACUCCUACGGGAGGCAGCAGUAGGGAAUAUUGGGCAAUGGACGCAAGUCUGACCCAGCCAUGCCGCGUGCAGGAUGAAGGCGUUAUGCGUUGUAAACUGCUUUUAUACAGGAAGAAACGACUCUUGCGAGAGGCAUUGACGGUACUGUAUGAAUAAGCACCGGCUAACUCCGUG